Molecule: transfer RNA, 75 nt
Filed under: Clostridia bacterium
Lineage: Bacteria; Bacillati; Bacillota; Clostridia
Description: tRNA-Gly
Rfam family: tRNA
About the family: Transfer RNA (tRNA) molecules are approximately 80 nucleotides in length. Their secondary structure includes four short double-helical elements and three loops (D, anti-codon, and T loops).
Source: RNAcentral
GCAGGUGUAGUUCAACGGCUAGAAUUCCAGCCUUCCAAGCUGGCUAUGUGGGUUCGAUUCCCAUCACCUGCUCCA